GCCAUGGUUUACAGAGAAAAUAUAGAAAGUGAUUCAGAGGAUGAGGAGGAGGAAUAAAGGACCAGAAAUCUGCAAACCCCAUAAGACACCUGGGAGAGCAGAGAUCUUGGCCCUGGGAUACGGGAGAGAUGAUACCUGCAGUGCACAGAAGCUGCGAUUAACCUGUAAGACUCGAAGCAGGAGCUUGUUUUUCAGUUCAAAAGACAUAACUGUCUAUAUUGUAUAGAAUUUGCAGAUUUAUAUGUUCUUUGUUUAAUAAUUUUAAUAUUAGUACUUCAUGUUAAAUUUUUAUAUUAAAUUAUAUUUACUUAGUAA
Molecule: non-coding RNA, 315 nt
Organism: Ictidomys tridecemlineatus (thirteen-lined ground squirrel)
Lineage: Eukaryota; Metazoa; Chordata; Mammalia; Rodentia; Sciuridae
Source: RefSeq, a predicted model, not a curated record